AAUUUUGUUCAAUUUCUAAGACAGUUGGAAAAGUGUCGUCUGCUCCUGUAUUCUUUGAAAAAUGACGGACAGUUUGUUUGACAGUGACAAAAGACGAAGUUUAAGAUAAGAAGGAAAAUGGAAUCAUGAUAUUCGAAAUUCACCUGAAGGACGACAGAUCUUUGGCAGAAACGGAAGGAACCAAUUGACGGGCAGCUGUUUCGAAAUCUACAGUACCUAACAUUCGAUCUCCUUCGGAUAUCGUAUGACCUGAAAUAAGGGCAGAAUAGAUUUGGAGUUAAGUUGGAUAUUUCUUUCGACGCUUUUAAGCAUGGCGUUGGAACAAAGGGAAUAUAAAUCGGCACCCGUUAAAUAUUUUGGAAGCUGCUGAACGAAAUCUUCAAGAUUUACUAAUGGAUGUAACUGAAUCCUUUGUUUCGAUGAAGUGUUUCAAUUAUUAAAAUAUUUAAAAUUUUCAUAGUGUACUUUGACUUUUUAACGUACUUUCUAGUAAGUGCUUUCAAGACAGACAGCUGGUAUUCCUUUGAAUCGUUUACGCUCAAAAAGAGAAGUUUGUCAAACCUAUAUCAAUACGUUUAAAUUUUGAAACAAAAUUGCUACUAGUUAUUAACUAACCUGCCGGGUCUUAAAAGAGCUGGAUCGAUCAAAUCAGGUCGAUUUGUAGCACCAAUUACGAAGACGACUGCUGAUUUGUUGAUGCCGUCCAAUUCAGCUAACAAUUGCGAAACAACUCUAGACAUUUGAGGACCAUGAAGUUAUAAAAACAAGGGACGACAGUUAAUGUAAUUCACUGAUAAGAUAACUCACCUAUCCAUCACUCCACCUGAGUCUCCACUACGACCACGGUUAGGGGCCAAGGAAUCCAAUUCGUCAAAGAAGAUUAAACAUGGUGAAGCUUGGCGGGCUGCUUGAAAUACGUUGCGAACAUUUUCUUCGCUUUGACCGACGUACAUGUUGAGCAAUUCAGGGCCUUUGACACUUAAAAAGUGCAAAUUGCACUCAGUGGCCACAGCUGUGGUCAUUUUAAGCGGAAAAUCAAGCUAAAAGCAACUUUUGUUGGUUUAAAUGCCAUCGUAUUACCUUUAGCCAGUAAUGUUUUACCCGUUCCAGGAGGUCCGUACAGCAGAACACCUGAUUUAAAAGAAAAAUGUUCCGUUUAGGAUUUCUUAAAAAAACAUUUUAAAUGAUUGUUCAAUAUUACCUGAUCGCUUAAGUCCGUUUUGAAUUAGAUCUGGGAACUUUAGCGGAAGUUGGAUUGUGUCAAGUAAUUCAGUGAUGAUGUGCUGUAAUCCACCAACAUCCUCCCAACGCACUUCGGGAAUAGUUGGAGCGUUCAUGUUUUUGCUCUGCCAAAGGCGAACAAGACCUGUUCACAAGUUAAAGCAAGUAAGUAUUACCUCCAGAGAAUUAGGCAGAUUGAAAUGGAACAACUGAAGCUACCUAUAGCAUGAUCAAUGGAAGACGACGGAAUCACGGUUACGUCAGAGGUGGCAUUAUUAAUGUUCGUAGUAGCAUGCCUGUAUUGAGUUAUCUGUUAAUGGAUGCACGAAAAUUUAUUUGUACGCAAAUUAAGAGACCUUGUAGCAAUUGAGAUGACAGCGUUCAGGUCUCCCAGUCGGAAUCCAUGCAUUCUCCGGGCUAGAUCUUCCAAAGGUGUGCCGACUACCGAAGAACUUUCUUCAAGGAGCCAUCCAAGAGUAGUAAUCCUUUCUUCAUCACUCAGACCAUCGAUGGUUAUAUGAUGCAGUAAUGCCCCGCAGACAUCCGAUGAGCAUUUAUUUCUAUCUCGACAACUUCCAAUGAUGAAAAGUGGAGAUGUAGAAUCCAUCUUCGUCAAAUCCGAUUGAAGUUGGCGGAUUUCAGAGACAAAGAAGCGCAAAAUUCGGAAGUCUGCAACAUUUCCCUCGCGACUUUUACCGACAACCUUAAAAAUCAAGGAAUAGCCGGAGAAACUUGACGCGCGUUUUCAAAAACGCUGCGAAUCCGUAAUUCUGAGGCUUUGCUGGAUUCGCCGAGUAGACUAAGGCAGGACACUUCAACAAACUCAAGACCCAGGAAAUCCGCGACACAUUUAACAAUUAAUCGCUUGCCAGACCCAGACGGCCCUAUCAUUAAAAAUGUUGGAAGUGCUACGGAGGAGCUCCAAUUCGCUAAGAGAUCAGUAGUGCCAAUAUCAACAAAUGGUGCUAAAACCUUUUGCAAAAUAUCACAAUAUUCAGUCAAGCCAGGAGGUCGAUUAGGCAUUAUACAACUUUCGAUUUCUUCAUAAGUUCUUAGGUUCCAUUUUGUUGGGUUUGUCUUUAAUUUUUUUUCAACAGCAAAUUUUAAUGAAGGUACACUAGCUAGUUGAAAUAAAGAAGACUUUUGAUUUUCAA
This 2375-nucleotide long non-coding RNA is filed under the name Daphnia pulex (common water flea). RNAcentral's name for it is "uncharacterized LOC124195962". The record is from RNAcentral. Lineage: Eukaryota; Metazoa; Arthropoda; Branchiopoda; Diplostraca; Daphniidae.